RNAcentral lists this ribosomal RNA (459 nucleotides) under uncultured bacterium. Its description in RNAcentral is "partial 16S ribosomal RNA". It matches the Rfam family "Bacterial small subunit ribosomal RNA", at positions 338 to 795 of the family's 1533-position model. The record is from RNAcentral.
CCUACGGGAGGCAGCAGUGAGGAAUAUUGGUCAAUGGGCGCGAGCCUGAACCAGCCAAGUCGCGUGAGGGAAGACGGUCCUAUGGAUUGUAAACCUCUUUUGUCGGGGAGCAAAAGACGCCACGCGUGGCCUUCCGUGUGUACCCUAAGAACAAGCAUCGGCUAACUCCGUGCCAGCAGACGCGGUAAUACGGGGGAUGCGAGCGUUAUCCGGAUUUAUUGGGUUUAAAGGGUGCGCAGGCGGAAGAUAAAGUCUGCGGUAAAAUUAGGGGGCUCAACCUCGUCGAGCCGUUGAAACUGGUUUUCUUGAGUGAGCGAGAGGUAUGCGGAAUGCGUGGUGUAGCGGUGAAAUGCAUAGAUAUCACGCAGAACUCCGAUUGCGAAGGCAGCAUACCGGCGCUCAACUGACGCUCAUGCACGAAAGUGUGGGUAUCGAACAGGAUUAGAUACCCCAGUAGUC